GAGUUUGAUCCUGGCUCAGGACGAACGCUGGCGGCGUGCCUAAUACAUGCAAGUCGAGCGGAUUUAGUCGGGAGCUUGCUCCUGGCUAGGUUAGCGGCGGACGGGUGAGUAACACGUAGGUAACCUGCCCGUAAGGCCGGGAUAACAUCCGGAAACGGAUGCUAAUACCGGAUACGCAAUUCCUUCGCAUGGGGGGAUUGGGAAAGGCGGUUCCGAUUGAAUUCGGGCUGCCGCUUACGGAUGGACCUGCGGCGCAUUAGCUGGUUGGUGGGGUAACGGCUCACCAAGGCGACGAUGCGUAGCCGACCUGAGAGGGUGAUCGGCCACACUGGGACUGAGACACGGCCCAGACUCCUACGGGAGGCAGCAGUAGGGAAUCUUCCGCAAUGGACGAAAGUCUGACGGAGCAACGCCGCGUGAGUGAGGAAGGCCUUCGGGUCGUAAAGCUCUGUUGCCAGGGAAGAACGGGUAGGAGAGUCACUGCUCUUGCCAUGAC
This 496-nucleotide ribosomal RNA is filed under the name uncultured bacterium. Its description in RNAcentral is "bacterial SSU rRNA". It matches the Rfam family "Bacterial small subunit ribosomal RNA", at positions 9 to 473 of the family's 1533-position model. The record is from RNAcentral.